RNAcentral lists this ribosomal RNA (497 nucleotides) under uncultured bacterium. RNAcentral's name for it is "partial 16S ribosomal RNA". It matches the Rfam family "Bacterial small subunit ribosomal RNA", at positions 28 to 507 of the family's 1533-position model. The record is from RNAcentral.
GAUGAACGCUGGCGGCGUGCCUAAUACAUGCAAGUCGAGCGAACAGACGAGGAGCUUGCUCCUCUGACGUUAGCGGCGGACGGGUGAGUAACACGUGGAUAACCUACCUAUAAGACUGGGAUAACUUCGGGAAACCGGAGCUAAUACCGGAUAAUAUAUUGAACCGCAUGGUUCAAUAGUGAAAGACGGUUUUGCUGUCACUUAUAGAUGGAUCCGCGCCGCAUUAGCUAGUUGGUAAGGUAACGGCUUACCAAGGCAACGAUGCGUAGCCGACCUGAGAGGGUGAUCGGCCACACUGGAACUGGGACGCGGUCCAGGCUCCUAAGGGAGGCAGCAGUAGGGAAUCUUCCGCAAUGGGCGAAAGCCUGACGGAGCGACGCCGCGGGAGUUGUGAAGGUCUUCGGAUCGUAAAACCCUGUUAUUAGGUAAGAACAAAUGUGUAAGUAACUAUGCACGUCUUGACGGUAACUAAUCAGAAAGCCACGGCUAACUACGUG